GACGAACGCUGGCGGCGUGCCUAAUACAUGCAAGUCGAGCGGACUUUCAAGAAGCUUGCUUUUUGAAAGUUAGCGGCGGACGGGUGAGUAACACGUGGGCAACCUGCCUGUAAGACGGGGAUAACUCCGGGAAACCGGGGCUAAUACCGGAUAAUAUCUUUCUUCGCAUGAAGGAAGGUUGAAAGGCGGCGCAAGCUGCCGCUUGCAGAUGGGCCCGCGGCGCAUUAGCUAGUUGGUGAGGUAACGGCUCACCAAGGCGACGAUGCGUAGCCGACCUGAGAGGGUGAUCGGCCACAGUGGGACUGGAACACGGCCCAGACUCCUACGGGAGGCAGCAGUAGGGUAUCUUCCGCAAUGGACGAAAGUCUGACGGAGCAACGCCGCGUGAGCGAAGAAGGUCUUCGGAUCGUAAAGCUCUGUUGUCAGGGAAGAACAAGUACCGUUCGAAUAGGGCGGUACCUUGACGGUACCUGACCAGAAAGCCACGGCUAACUACGUGCCAGCCGCCGCAGUAA
RNAcentral lists this ribosomal RNA (515 nucleotides) under uncultured bacterium. RNAcentral's name for it is "partial 16S ribosomal RNA". It matches the Rfam family "Bacterial small subunit ribosomal RNA", at positions 28 to 523 of the family's 1533-position model. The record is from RNAcentral.